Long non-coding RNA from Leucoraja erinaceus (little skate), 682 nucleotides. RefSeq lists it as uncharacterized. The record is from RefSeq and is a predicted model, not a curated record. Lineage: Eukaryota; Metazoa; Chordata; Chondrichthyes; Rajiformes; Rajidae. The transcript is spliced from 4 exons.
CGGCGGUUGGCGGCUGGCUGCGCCGGGCGGUCGCCGCUCACUGGCAGCAGGGGGGGCUGCUGCAGCAGCGAGGCGCCAGCCCUCCUCCACAUGGUGGUGGAGGAGGAGGCGCCAGCCUUGCAUGACCAGUGUCGGAAGGAACUGCAGGUGCUGGUUUCCACCGAAGAUAAGACACCAAAUCAAUGCUGGAGUAACUCAGCGGGACAGGCAGCAUCUCUGGAGAGAGGGAAUGGGGAGGUUUCACGGCAGUCGGGUCACGACCCAUGACCCGUACUGUUGCUACGCUACUCCAAAUGGAUUACACGCGAUGAACUGCAGCGCAAAGAUUCAACAUUUUGGCGGUUUUUAACAGUCUCAUAAUGGCUUCUUUGACUUUCAUUGGCACAACUUUGGUCCUCGUGUUGAUAAAGGUGAUGGAAAGACUGGCGGGAAGACUAGGUGCUGAGAGUUCUCUUAUACCUGCAUUGAGGAGGCAAUUAAACACACCUGAGCAAUUACAGACGCCUGUGAAGCCAUGCGUCCCAAACAUUAUGAUGCCCUGAAAUGGGGGGACUGUAUAACCACAGCUGUCAUUUCUACAUGGUGAAUCCAAAAUGUAUAAAAAUACCCUUUAAUAAAAUCUGACAAUGUACACUUUAACCACAUGUGAUGUUUUCUAUUACUAAUCUCAAAUUGUGGAGUA